AUUGUGCUGGGGCAUUUGUGUGGGACUCUUCCCGUCCUUUUUUUGCAUACUGCAGCUUUGAGACAAGCGACGUGGAACUUCUGGAGCAAUUUUGCUCAGGCUUGAGUGAAGAGUGAACACAGGGACGCAGCGAUGAAUAUUUGCAAGCUGUCACCUGGCUCUGCAACUCUGCUGAUCUGAAAACCUGAAGAUCCUUGCAGUUCUUUUAUAAAUGCAAUGAUGUAAAUGAUUCAUAAGUGCAGAGAUGCCAGCUGUCAGUGCCACAACCAGGACCAUAUUUACCUCCUUGCUGGUGUUUGCUGUGGCAGCAGUGGCAGUAUACACAAAGUUAUCAUCACCCACCAGUGACUCUUCAGUGGAAAGUGAUGGCUGGGGUCUUCCAGCAAGUGGCUUCUGAUUUUCCCAUAUGCUGUGACUGAGCUACCUGAAGUGGACUAAUUGAAGAGUCAACAUGGGAGAUUUUACUGAUGCCUGUUAAACUGAUGCAAGACCUCAAUGGCAGUGAAUGCCUUGAUGAAAGGAGAAUUAUCUUCCAUUACUUGCUGUUGGGAUUCAGUUGGCACUUAUGCAGCUUGUCUUGCUGAGAUACUGUUCAGGGAACUGAGAAGCAUCAGUCUUGGGAAACACACACAGAAUGACUCAAAAUGCCCCAAAGCCUUUUGUUUGCAAAGACUUGAACAGGACCUUGAGAAGGGCCUCUGUGA
Pogoniulus pusillus (Red-fronted tinkerbird) is the source of this 704-nucleotide long non-coding RNA. RefSeq lists it as uncharacterized. The record is from RefSeq and is a predicted model, not a curated record. Lineage: Eukaryota; Metazoa; Chordata; Aves; Piciformes; Lybiidae. The transcript is spliced from 7 exons.